GAGCCCGUAGCUCAGUUGGUAGAGCACCGCACUUUUAAUGCGAUGGUCGCGCGUUCGACCCGCGCCGGGCUCA
This 73-nucleotide transfer RNA is filed under the name Bryobacteraceae bacterium. RNAcentral describes it as "tRNA-Lys". It matches the Rfam family "tRNA". Rfam says of the family: Transfer RNA (tRNA) molecules are approximately 80 nucleotides in length. Their secondary structure includes four short double-helical elements and three loops (D, anti-codon, and T loops). The record is from RNAcentral. Lineage: Bacteria; Pseudomonadati; Acidobacteriota; Terriglobia; Bryobacterales; Bryobacteraceae.